This 13220-nucleotide long non-coding RNA is filed under the name Lynx pardinus (Iberian lynx). The record is from RNAcentral. Lineage: Eukaryota; Metazoa; Chordata; Mammalia; Carnivora; Felidae.
CACUGUGAGCUCAGGGAGAACGUGAUCUCUGUUUCAGUCAUGUGUGGACAUCAGUGUCCAGCUCAUCUCCUGAAAAAGGGCAGGAGAUUAAAAAGUGAUUAUUGUCUGAAUAAUUGUUAGCCUCAAAACAAUAUUCUAAGUUUAUUAUCAUUCAGGGAUCUAAUGCUUUCUAACAUAAAAAAUGCCAGAGUAAGUAAGUGUCUAUAGUAUUUCUCCUCUAAAUUCCUUUUACCAAAGCAAUGCAAGCACUUCUUAGAAGUAAACACUGUUUAAAACUGUAGCAAAGUUUAUUUAUGCACUUGUAACAGGUUUAUUAUAGAAUACAAAUAUUUGCCCUGUAAAUGGUUUUAGCGUGAACCAACAACAGCAAAAAUGUAAACUUGGCGAGUUCUUUGCUUUAAAUUUCAAUGUGAAUAUGUUUACAAAAGAUUCAGGACACUUAAUGAAGAGACUUAACAAUAAUAAAAACAUAAGGAGAGCUAUCAGAGAUAAUGCCAGUAGUCACACUCUUUCCCCAAUAGAGUGACCAUGUUCUCAGUGUUUUUUAUUUUAAAUGUAAAUCAAAACCUCAGAAAGUCUUUCUGAUCAACUUAAUUUAUAGUUAAAAGGAGCAAGAAAUGUAAAACAAAAGACAAUUGUUGUCUUUGGUUAUUCUGUACAAUCUCAAACACAAAUUAACAUUUGGAGCUUGAUUAAAUAAAUGAAUAUCUUUUUCCUGGUUAGCAAACCUUUGGUAGUCUAGGAUUAGAAUGGAAUAAGGUCAGGAGUGAUUGUCUGACUCUGGGUCCAGCCCCCACCCAAUCUUGUUCUUUCUUUCUUUCUUUCUUUCUUUCUUUCUUUCUUUCUUUCUUUCUUUCUUCUUUCUUUUUUCUUCUUCUUCCUCCUCUUCUUCUUCUCCUUCUUCUUCUCCUUCUUCUUCUUUUUUUUAAAGUAAUCUCUACACCCAACAUGGGGCUUGAACUUACAACCCAGAGAUCAAGAGACACAUGCUCUAUUGACUAAGCCAGCCAGGUACCCCUCUUCUUUGUUUUAAACAAAAUAGUUUUGAUUGGCCUUUCUUAAUCCUGUAUUUUUAGAGUUGAUGAUUUUCAUAUAACUCAGAGAUGAGUUUAAAUGCAGAAUAUAUGAACUUUCUUAUUCCUGAGGGAGAACUAUGAUUCUGUGAAAAUCCCAAAAGGAGCCACGGAGACUGAUGGAGACUAAGGGUUUAGAAAGCAAGCAUGACCUCCAGGCUGUGCUCUGUGUGAGUUGCCUGGAUUCCUUUGAUCAUGUGAUCCUGGACAAGUUUCACGAGCUCCAUAACCUUAAUUUGAAACUCCAUAAAAUGAAGAAAGUGCUAUGUGUCUUCAAUUCUAAGACAUCAUCAAUUGUUAAGAUGCGCCAUUAAUUUAUACAUGACAAAGAAAGCACAGUUCAAUGACUUGUCAUUGAUACAUACUAAUUUCAGACAUGUUAGACCAUUGAUACAGGUAGGGAGAGUGUAUAUUCAAAUCCUAGAAAUGUAGUCAAGAUAGGUACCUUCUAGAAUUGCGAGGAUUUAAUGAGCAAAUGCAUGUAAAUGGUUGGCACAGCUCGGAAUGUGUUGUGCCCAGUAAAUAUUAGCUAUUGAUAUCACUCAUAGUAUCCUUAAUUUGAGUAAUGACUUAUCUUUGGGAUAGCCUCCAGCUGGGCUGAAACCAAUCUGACUCACUGGCAAAGAGGCAGAAGGACAGAAGAUUGAAAUGUAGGCCACAUAGAAUGGGGACUGAUUUCAUUUCUCUUGAGUCUAAGCUCUUUUGCAGCCAUACAUGCAUCCACUCAUGACUAUGGGAAUACUCACAAGGUUUAACUAUAAAGUAAUUCUUAUGUCAAGUUUCUAUCAAUGCUAAUAUUUUUGCUGGACACUUUUUUUUUCCUUUCCACUUGUCAUUUCCUAAAGCCUUCAAUUUAAAUAUCUUUCAUGGUGACAGAUAAUCAAAUUUUAAAAAUGUUAUUGUGAUUUUUACAUAGACCCCAAGUUAUUCAAAAACAAAAGUAAUGAAUAGAAGACUGGAAUUAAUCUAGCAUUAUAAAAAUAACCAAGUGGUUAUAACAGAAAACAAUAACAAACCCCAUACCCCCUCCCCGGCCCUCAGCUUUGUGCUUGAUUAAAAUAAGAGAAAUCUCCCAAUUAAUGCAGCUAAUUUUUUUUAAAUUUUUUUAACGUUUAUUUAUUUUUGAGACAGAGAGAGACAGAGCAUGAAUGGGGGAGGGUCAGAGAGAGAAGGAGACACAGAAUCCAAAACAGGCUCCAGGCUCUGAGUCAUCAGCCCAGAGCCCAACACGGACUCGAACUCAUGGACCGCGAGAUCAUGACCUGAGCCAAAGUCAGACGCUUAACCGACUGAGCCACCCAGGCGCCCCUGGAGCUAAUUUUUUUAAUAGCUCAUACUUUGUAUUAAAAAGAAAAAACUCCCUAGAUUCAGAGUUGAAUACAUGUAAAUAUAGUGAAUGUUUAUAUACAUAGAAUAUAUAUAUAUAUUAUAUAUAUAUAUUGAAUAUAUAUAGGACAAAGAUAAAUUUAUUGUAUUUAUUACAUUUUAAUCAAACAUAAUGUUAUAUAUUACCUGUCUUUUUAUAUAUAACAAUAUUAAGAAAAUCCAUCUAUGAAAUUUCAAGUUUCCUGGAAAUUGCAGUACUUGGAUUCAGGUUCUGUCUCUUAAUUAUGUUUUUUAGCCUUUCUGAGGUUUGGCCCUAAAGGUCUCUAUAUCCAACUUUAAAAUUCAAACAGGUGUAAAGUGAGAAAAUAUUGUUUAUCCACAUAGGUGGCCCGUGGCCAGGUUUACAUAGAAUUUAUUUAAUGUUUUUGUCCAAAUAAGGUCUUAGGUUUUAAAGCUUCACUUUGUGGGUGGGUGCUCUUUAUUCCAGCUAAGAGAGCCUCUUCCCCAAUUUGCUCAGUGUUCGUGCAGGUAACACAUGUGCCUGAGGUUUUAAGAACCCCAGCUCAAGAAGAGAAAUGAACACUCCACACCCCCACCCCCACUUACUUGCCAAAUUUACUCUUUCGUUUAUUCCAAAUUGAAAUGUUGCUCAGUGGUCUCAAAGUUUUUACCCUGGUAUUUUUGAAAUGCCUUCCUUUUGCCCAGAAUUGCUGUAAUCUUGGGGUUCCAGUCCACGCUUGGCAUUUCUCUUCUUAAAGCAUUUAACAGUUUCAUGGGUAAAUGGUGUUCUCUUUGAUCCAGUGCCAUUUGCUUUGGUGAAACCUCACGGACCACCCUCCUUAUCAGAGUCGCACACAGAGGGCCCUGCUUCUGGGUCUGUAAACUGGCUUUCUGAGCUGCUGAACGUGUCAGUUCUGUGGGCCCCCUCUCAGAUGUCACAGGCACUCGCUGUGUCUGACAGAGACCUUUCUGCAAGUACAUUUGUGGGUCUGCCCUGUAAAGUCAUUAUCGUUCGCAGAUUAUUGCACAGAGUGGCUACGAGCUGUGGUGUGAUCCUGUCAUAUAGAGAUUGGUCACGUUUUCAGAGCACCAGGAAAGAGAUACCUGUAAGCUUAAUACUUAGAUUUAAGAAAAAAAAAUCCAUUUAAAAAUGUAUCAUUAUUUCCCCUGAUAGCUUAACAAACAUUUAGAAAGUUUCAUAAAAUCACUCUCUGAGUUUCCUGUGACAUGAUAUAAAAAGUCAAUAUCUGAUAGCUUAAAAAUCAAUAUUGACAGAAACACAAGUAUUUAAAAUAGAAACACAGAUCGCACAACAAUUUUUUUAAUGAUAUGAAAUAUUUGAAUAUUUUUUAAACUCCUUGGAACAGAGAUGCACUUAACAUGUGGUAAGUAUUAGAUAUUGAAACUCACAAAUUGCUUUGGUGCCAUUCCUUUUAUAUCUUGGCCAUGUUUUUAAAUGUUUCUUUAUUUAUUUUGAGUGAGAGAGAGAGAGAGGCAGAGAGAGAGGGAGGGAAAGAGAGAAAGGAUCCCAAGCAGGUUCCACACUCAGCAAGGAGCCCAAUGUGGGGCUUGAACUCAAGAACUGUGAGAUCAUGACCUGAGCUGAAAUCAAGAGUCGGACACUUAACCACCUGAGCCACCCAGACGCCCCUUAGCCAUUUUAAAAAUUUAAAGAAUCAUCUGCAUCUCCUUACAGGUUUAAACUAGGAAAGGCCUCCAAGUCUUACAAAGUGGCCCCCCUCUUCUUUUUUCAAGAAGUGUAUAGAGUUACAAGGUGGGUCUUCUCUUAGGUCAUGUAGAAGCUUCUUAGAUAUGAUUUAAAUCCAUUUUUAAAAAAUCACUUUAAAUCUUUAUAUCUGGUUGUACUAUUGUCUUUUUCUCUUAUCUCCACUGUAGUCAGCUACCUACUUUUUUUAAAUAUAUGAACCGUCAAACCUAUGAACAUGCCGCCAAACCAAACCAUAAUCUAUGAAGUGUGGUUUUCUUUUCUUUUUUUUUUUUAAUUUUUUUUUUUUAUUUUUUUUAAUUUUUUUUUUUUAUUUUUUUUUAAUUUUUUUUUUCAACGUUUAUUUAUUUUUGGGACAGAGAGAGACAGAGCAUGAACGGGGGAGGGGCAGAGAGAGAGGGAGACACAGAAUCGGAAACAGGCUCCAGGCUCCGAGCCAUCAGCCCAGAGCCUGACGCGGGGCUCGAACUCACGGACCGCGAGAUCGUGACCUGGCUGAAGUCGGACGCUUAACCGACUGCACCACCCAGGUGCCCCAUGAAGUGCGGUUUUCUUUAUAUCACUUCCCAUUCUCUCAUUUGUAUGGUUUCCCUUAGUUAUCAGCUGUCUUUGCUUUUCUCUUAAUCACAUUGCUCUGAUUCCAUUAUUUAUUUUGUCCUAAGAAUGUUGGUAGUGUCCAUUGUCUUUCUACGCCAUUACUUUCUGAGGAUAAAUCACCAUUCUUUGACACGUUAGUACCAGCAGCUUUCCAGUACAUUUCCACACAACUUAUACCCUGCUCAUUCCACUUACACAUGUCUGUUGUCCUCAUAUAUUUUGUUCUUAACAUUGCCCUACUGUUCUCAGGGGCUCUGUGCUUUAUAAUCGUUAGGUAUUCCUUCCCUUCAAAUAGAACAAAUCAACAACUAACACUUUUCCCCCCUUCCUUAGCUCUUAUCCAGUCAUUUCCAAUUAUAUAUGCAUUUCCUUCUAUAUUUCUAACUUCUUAGGAUUUCUCAACAUCUAUUUGCAUUGUUCUCUUUUGAAUUCAAGCUUAUUUGCAAAAGUUUCCUUCCAAGCAGGCCUAUGAGUUAUUUCCCAUUUUCUGAAUGCAAUUGCCAUCUAUUUGCCACCCCACCAAUGUUAUUUUGCUAUCUUGUCCCUCUCUGCUUCCUGUUCUUUGAAAAGAGUCAAUUCCCCCCUCAUAAUUUUGAGUAGGAAUGUUGAAACACCUCUUUCCACCAUGCCCUUUCCCUCUCCUUAUUCAAAUGGAAGCAACAAGAAUGAAAAGUCAUGUAAAGGAAAGCUAUGAACUCAUUAUGCACAUUUUGCUUUCCUGGGAUGAAAAAUCACUAGAAAUCUUUAAAAUCUAUUUACUCUGUCAUUCCAGAAGGCACUAAAACUUCUUAAGACGCUACACACCUAUUUACUUGAAACUGAAGAUAAAUUUGUAUGUAUAACGAUAUGCAUAUAGAUAAAUGUGAAAUAAGCUAAAUGGAAAAAUAAAGAAAAUUUAAAAUUCCAUCUAAAUAAGACUUGCCAUGUGGUUGGCAGGCAGAAUAUUUCUUCCAUGAGGUUUUUUUUAAGCAUGAAUGUAUGUAGACCACAUGUCUUUUCUUUAUCACUUGUGACUUAACAUCAUACAUGUUUAAAAAGUCUCCUUGUUCUGAAACAGAUGAUGUAUGACAAUAAAGGAGAGUUACACUAUAUAAAUGAGACUUUUUUGCCCAAAUACUAAAAGACAUUGAAAAUAAUUUACCUUUGCUUGUGUAUUAUUUGAUAUAAUACUUUGACAUACUAUCUCACAGGUUUUCACAAUUUUGUGAUGGAGUAGAGGUAGUUAUUAUUGUCUUCCUAAUGUUGUAGAUAAUACAAGAAACUCAAAGCCUAUGUGACUGUCCAGUGUCACAAAGAAGGUAACAGAGACAGAGGUCGAAGGUGGUCUGCUAUCGAUGAAGCCACAGCUUCCUUCACUCUGGAGCUAGUGUAAGAGGCUGGCCCUUUAGUUCAUGUUCAAGUUUUGUGAGGCUUUUUUAAAAUUUUUUUUUUCAACGUUUAUUUAUUUUUGGGACAGAGAGAGACAGAGCAUGAACGGGGGAGGGGCAGAGAGAGAGGGAGACACAGAAUCGGAAACAGGCUCCAGGCUCUGAGCCAUCAGCCCAGAGCCCGACGCGGGGCUCGAACUCGUGGACCGUGAGAUCGUGACCUGGCUGAAGUCGGACGCUUAACCGACUGCGCCACCCAGGCGCCCCUGUGAGGCUUUUUUAAAAAAUGUUUAUUUAUUCUGAGAGGGAGAGUGUAUUCACAUAGGAGCAAGUGGGGGAGGGGCAGAGAGAGGAGAAAGAGUAUCCCAAGCAGGCUCCAUGCUGUCAGCACAGAUCCCGACCCAGGGCUCGAUCUCAGGAAUCAUGAGAUCAUGACCUGAGUUGAGAUCAAGAGUCCAACACUUACCUGACUGAAUCACCCAGGCAGCCCACGUUUUGUGAGACUUUGUGAGGUAAGCUAAAGCUAUUCGUUUCUGAGAGCAGCAUGGGAUGCUGAGUAUCUGGAAGAUGAGAGAAGGAACAAGAGAUAGGACACACAUUCAGAACAGGAGGUGAAGAGGACAUAAAGGUCACCUCUGCAUAUUCUGUAGUUUUGCACAGAACCCCUCAGCAUCCCACCACCACAGAUAACACUGCCUUAAACCCAGCUGGCUGAAUUAAGAAAUCCAGACUCACUGAAAGACUAUAAAGCUUCACCUUUCCCUGGUUUGGGCAGAUACACAAAUGGGGAACUACAGCAACAUCAUCCUGAUUCAUGCUCAUAACAAAAGAGAAAUCCCUUCUUCAGCCCUGCCCAGAGUGUCCAACUAAUUUCUUCUCUUCUCUAGUGAAAAGCAAAGGGGCAGUUGUGCAUCCCUAAGUUCUGUCUUUUCUUUCUGAAUAGAAGUUUGUACAAGGAGACUCCUGUUCAAAAGAACCUUCAGAAGAAACAUCUAAGCAGAAUGCAGUGGUUUCACCUUGUUUCUCUGAGUUUCUGCCAUUCAGUGUCUACCCCCCUCCCUCUUCACUGUUUUUACCUUUGGGUCUUUCCGCUUUGUAUCUACAGCAGUCAUUCCUGGAGAACUUUAAUGGAGCUGUCCUGUUACCCCCUUCUUUAUUCUCUGGUUCUCCAUACUGAUUCUGCCAUUCCUCACCAUACUGGGAUGUAUUUUUUAGUGGCUAUUCCUCUCAUACCAAAACAUGUGCUCCUUUAGUGUCCACAUAAUUUUGAUAGGUUUGUUCUCUGCUCCCAAACUCUCUUCAGCAAAGUGUUCUUUCUGGCCUGUUUUAAUACACAUCUCUCUCCUUCCCAGUUACAUUUUCCUGACUAAAACUGUCAAGAGUCUCACUCUUCUGAUUUACAAUUUCACAGCAUUUCUUUAGUUGCUUUUGACAACCAUUUUAUUUCUGAAUAUUCUGGACACAGGACAUUUUUAUCUGUGACCUACUUAUAAUAGUACUGCAAAAUCAAGCCAAAAGUUCUCUUUCUUUUCCAGAAAUGUUUUCCAAAAUCAUCAUCUCUUACCCUUCCUUUAAAACUUGCCUCAUAGGUGCUCACUCAUGACCUUUAUCCAGCCAUGGAAAUGUCUUUCGGAAUUACACCAGGUUCCGGUACAACCAAAGUUGCUGCGUUCUUCCCCAUAUAGGUGUUGCAUGCCUCUUUUUUUUUCAGCCUUACCUGUAUUUCACAGAGUGGAAUUUCUUUCCCCCUUUGUGACACUAAAUGACUCCUUAUUUCCCUUUGUUUAUCUCCUUUCUUUCUGAGGCUUCAGAGAAAUCAACCUAGCCAGCAGUAGCAUUUAUUCAGCACCUACUGUAUGCAAGGCACGGUUCUCAGUGUGGAGAAGAAACAAAGAUGUAAGGCAUAGUCUUGCCUUCUGGAAAAUUAUAAUCUAGUUGUGGUACAACAAGCCUCGUGAUGCACUAAGUAGAAUAAUGAAUUGGAAAUACAGACCUUAGGGGCCAUUCCAGUUGUGUCCCUAAGUUAAUUUUGAGGCCUUGACGAAGAUUUGCUUCUUCUGUAUAACCUACUCACCAUCCCAGUAAUAGAGGAUUUGUGAGUCUGACCUGGGUUCAAAAGAAUUGAAGUGCACCUGGGAAUUGUUCAACAAAAUAAAAGUGGAAAUAAGAUUAGUGGGAUCAUAUUUAAAAGCAUAAAUAAUCUUAAAUCUCACUAAAUCGCUCCUGAUUAAUUUUAAGUGUCUUGUUUAUUCAUUUAAAUCAGAUCCUGAAGGACUGUCUAUAGUUUAUUAUAAAUAUAUGUACAUGUGAAAUAACCAUAUUAGAACCUAUAUGAAUGUGUUAUUGCAUGUAUACUUAUUUCUACAUUUAAAAGUAAUGAGCAGGGCUUUGUUCUUUAAAAUUGAUUAUUCAGAGCACUAGCUUUCUCCCAGGCGGUGGGAGAUUUUGUUACCUCACAUCUGGUUUAUGCCUGGAAGUCAUCUGAGUAUUGAUGAGAAGGGGAACCACAACCACUCAACCACUGUCUGAGGUUGGAGACCAGGUUAGGGCCAGGGCUAGGCAUAGCCCCACAACAGGAUUCCUGAGCAAUAAUCAGCCAGCGUGACCCCAGGCAAACUUCUGUAUAACGGCUGCAGGGCUUAUCAGUCCUCCUGGCCUCCACCCUCUCCUGAAGGAGGUGCUGUGGGCAGCUGGAGGGAGGCUGGGGACCCCAGGCCGGGAAGCGUGGAGGCACUGACUGCACUUACCCUGUGUGUUCUCAUCCCCUGGACCUCCUCAGGGCAGAAAUCAGCCCUGGCUGCUCCUCUCAACGUUGGCUCUCCUUGACUGGGUAUGUAUGCCCUUGUCCAGAACCUUCCGAGGCUCCUGUUGCUGGCCCUGUGCCCAAGAGCAGUGGGAGGUGCACCGGCCAGCCUGGUGGGAAGACGGGGCAGACGUGCGCCUCCCUUUCAGCCCUGGCUGCUCUAUUACUCACUGGGUGACAGAUGCAUUGUUCUCCCGGGAGGCCGGCAGCUGGACGCCCCCCUCGCCCGCCCCCUUCCUGCAGCCCGCGGGGCCGCGCAUCCCAGCCGGCUGCNNNNNNNNNNNNNNNNNNNNNNNNNNNNNNNNNNNNNNNNNNNNNNNNNNNNNNNNNNNNNNNNNNNNNNNNNNNNNNNNNNNNNNNNNNNNNNNNNNNNNNNNNNNNNNNNNNNNNNNNNNNNNNNNNNNNNNNNNNNNNNNNNNNNNNNNNNNNNNNNNNNNNNNNNNNNNNNNNNNNNNNNNNNNNNNNNNNNNNNNNNNNNNNNNNNNNNNNNNNNNNNNNNNNNNNNNNNNNNNNNNNNNNNNNNNNNNNNNNNNNNNGGCGGGAGCUAGUGAGCGAGCGGGUGUGGCCGCGGAUCCGGCUCAAGCCAGGGCUCCUGCAGUGCUUCUCCGGCCUGCGGGACUCGCUCUCUUCCUCCUCCUUGGCGGGUAAAGACAGACACCCCUGGAUUGUCUUCGGAAGUUUCCAGUUACCUCGUGUGUCCUACUGCAAGGAAACCACUGGCCCCACCAAAGUGGAAUCUGCAGUUUCAGCCAGGGAGGAGCUUUUCAGAGACGGACUCACGCUCACUUUCUCCGGGUGGGAAGGGAAGGACCCUGAGUGAAUGAAACUUAAUGAAUUUUUAAAAACGGAGGCUUAGUUUGUAUUAGGCAAAUGCAUUAGGCAUUUCCAAAUGCCUGCUGAAAUUUCUUCCUCCGGUCACUUAAAAUAAGACAUGUCAAAAAUUGAACUUAGGGUUUUCUCUCCUGUCCUUGGUCUCUCUGCUCAAGUUAUUUACUAUAUUAAUAGCAUUACCAUCCGUAGUCAUCCAGAUUUGUAGGCCUGAGGUCCUCUUGACUUUGCCCUCUACCAUGCUCCGGACGUCCUACAAGCUAUGAAAUCCCUUCUUUCUCUGCACCAGCUUUCACCAGCCUCUUUUCCUUGGUGUUUUCCGAACAAGAUUCUAGUUCAGGCAGCGAUGUCUCUUUCCCUCCUGGGCCGUAGUCAUGGUCUGCUAUCGCUGUGGUGGUACAUUCAAGGCUUUGCAAGACUGAUGCACCAACAUUAUUUGCCUCUUCUCUAUUUAAACUUCUUGUUUCAGUCAAAAUAACCCAUUAAUGGGGCACCUGAGUGGCUCAGUCGGUUGAGUGUCCAAGUCUUGGUUUCAGCUCAGGUCAAGAUCUCAGGUUCCUGAGUUCAAGCCCCAUGUCAGUCUCUGCACUGUUAGUGUGGAGGCCGCUUGGGAUAAUCUCUCUCCCUCGCUCUAUGCCCCUCCCCACUUGGACUGUCUCUGUGUCUCUUAAAAUAAGUAAAUAAACUUAAAAAAAAAAUCCCUGAAAAUGCCUCACGCCUUUUCUGCUUCUUUACCAUGUUUCCUAUUCAAAUACCUUUUACAUCUCUGUUGACACUCUGCCCAUCCUUCAAAGUCCAGGGCAAGUAUCCCUUUUACCAUGAAUACUUUUCCAACUUCUCAGAGAAAAAAUUGUGUUUCUCUCCUUAAGACACCUCCCACUUGUUGGUAUCAGUCUUAGGUAACUAUUAUACAGUGCUAGCAAUUUGUCCAUGUAUCUUGUCUCUUUUCACCUCCUCUGACACACCCUGGGAUAGACAAGCAAAAUGAUUAGUUGCUCACUUAAUUGAUGUGACCUUGAAAAUACCCAUGAAGUGUCCAGUGGUAUUUUGACACUAUUCAUUUAUGAAUGACCUACUUAAAGUAAAGUCAAGGACAUUUUAAAGUGUCCAAGGAACAGCUACAUCUGUUUCCCAAGCUCUUUCCAGCUCUGACCCUGGCAUGCAUCCUACUACACCUCCUUCUGACCAAGGGCAUGCAUUUGUGUAGUCUGUAGCCAUGGAAGGACUGAGGAGAUCAGCUAAUAUUGGAAUAUUGGGCUGAAAAGUGCUGUGUAGAAGCCAAAUGAACUAACCAAGCCUAAGUAACAAGGGUUUCUAAUAUGGUCAAUAAACAAAAACACCUACUUAAAUCCCAAAGUAGAACAAUUUAGGGACAUAUAAAAAUCUCUUCAGCUCUUAGAUUUUAUUUAAUACAAGCAAAGUAAAAACACACAUGCUUCAAUAUGAAUUAGCUCAGCAUCAUGUCCCAAGUAUGAAGUGCCCCUACAAAUGCUCUUUGGCUUAAUUUGCUUACCUGAAACCGGAUAUAAGACAAAAUCUAGAUUUCCUUUUUUCAAAAUGUUGCAGAAGAUGUUGCAAACCCAAGUGGCCCUAAAUAGGACACUUGCUGAGUUUAGGCUGUCUGGGUACCUUUUAGGCCAUGUGGGCUGGGUGGUCAAAGUGAUAAGUGAAGGAGAAAGAACCAAGGUACACUGGUGGCCACAGAGAAGAUGAUGUUCUCAGAGCUGUGUGCAUGUUCCUUGGGGAUGGUGAGCUAUAAACAAGGCAGUCAAAGAGAGGAAGGACUAGUUUUGACCUAAAGAAAUAGAGAAAUAUGCUCAGAGGUCACCUUAGGUAGGCUCGCAUUGCUGCAGAAGAGGGCAUGGUCUAGGGUGUAGGAAGAGAUGAGAGAAAUUAGGUAGUCAAGUCAAAGGAAAGAAUUAGAAUGGACACUUGAUUACUUUAGUUGCAUUGAGCAACAAGCAAUAAUAAACCUCAAAACAAACACAAUCACAUUUAACCCAGCAUAGUCCCCUUUCAUUGAUGAUCAUUAACAAAAGUAUAUGGAGGGAUACGUGAACUAAACACAUAUGUUGAAAUGUAAGCAGAUAUCCCUGUUCUUUAGAAACAUGGGAUUUCAUUUGAAGCUUUGACCAUAAUAUAGCAUUUGCAUUUUUGUAAAAUCAAACAGGAGAUUUAUAUGAAAUACCUUAUUCUGUGCCCAAAAGUUACAGCUAUUAACAGGUGGGUUUACUUCCAGACAGUUCCAGUGUGUAAGCAAAUACAUAUAUGCAUACACCUUUUGUAAGCAAAUAGAACCAUACUACACAUAUUGUUCUUCAACUUUUAUACUUUUAAAAUAGUGGAGGGGCACCUGGGUGGCUCAGUCAGUUAAGCGUCCGACUUCGGCUCAGGUCAUGAUCUCACUCUUUGUGAGUUCGAGCCCCACGCCUCGCUCUGGGCUGAUGGCUCGGAGCCUGGAGACUGCUUUGGGUUCUGUGUCUCCCCUCUCUCUGCUCCUCCCCCACUCAUGCUGUCUCUAUCUCUCUUUCAAAAAUAAAUAAACGCUAAAAAAAUAAAAAUAAAAUAAAAUAGUGGAGACAGGGAUGCCUGGCUGGUCAAUUGGUGGAGCAUGUGACUCUUGAUUUUAGGGUCGUGGGUUCUAGCCCCAUAUUGGGUAUAGGGAUUAGUUAAAAAAUAAAAUCUUUAAAAAAAAAUUUUUUUUAAUGUUUAUUUACUUUUGAGAGAGACAGAGCAUGAGCAGGGGAAGGGCAGAAAGAAGGAGACUCAGAAUCUAAAGCAGGCUCCAGGCUCUGAGCUGUCAGCACAUAGCCUGAUGCAGGGCUUGAACUCACAAAUGGUGAGAUCAUGACCUGAGCUGAAGUCAGAUGCCCAGCUGACUGAGCCACCUAGGCGCCCCAAAAUAUAAAAUCUUAAAAAAAAUAAAUCACUGGAGACAACUUUGUAUGCUCGUACAUAACAGUUUUGAUCUCAUAAAAAAAAUGAUAGAAUGGCAUUAUUUUGAAUGAAUGUGGCAUAAUUUAUCUAAUUGCACAUUGAGGUAGUGCUUUUUCCAGGUUUUCCUUUCUUUUGAAAAUUAGGAAAACAAUUACAAUACGUAUGCUCUUUUCAGCGAUAUCCAUCAAGAACCACAACAAAAAUGAUCAGGUCUUCAUUCCCAUUAAAAGUUUUCUUUUUCGGGGCGCCUGGGUGGCGCAGUCGGUUAAGCGUCCGACUUCAGCCAGGUCACCAUCUCGUGGUCCGUGAGUUCGAGCCCUGCGUCGGGCUCUGGGCUGAUGGCUCAGAGCCUGGAGCCUGUUUCUGAUUCUGUGUCUCCCUCUCUCUCUGCCCCUCCCCCAUUCGUGCUCUGUCUCUCUCUGUCCCAAAAAUAAAUAAACGUUGAAAAAAAAAAAAGUUUUCUUUUUCUUUUUGCGAAUAAAAAAUAAAAAAAUAAAACAAAUCUUGCAUUUGAAAGACGUUGAGAGUAUGUCUAAAGUAAACAUUAGUAGCUGUAAAUAAAU